GGGCAGCAUGGUCUUAGCUUGCUAAGACUGAUGGCGACCGGCGCACGGGUGAGUAACACGUAUCCAACCUGCCGUCUACUCUUGGACAGCCUUCUGAAAGGAAGAUUAAUACAAGAUGGCAUCAUGAGUCCACAUGUUCACAUGAUUAAAGGUAUUCCGGUAGACGAUGGGGAUGCGUUCCAUUAGAUAGUAGGCGGGGUAACGGCCCACCUAGUCUUCGAUGGAUAGGGGUUCUGAGAGGAAGGUCCCCCACAUUGGAACUGAGACACGGUCCAAACUCCUACGGGAGGCAGCAGUGAGGAAUAUUGGUCAAUGGGCGAGAGCCUGAACCAGCCAAGUAGCGUGAAGGAUGACUGCCCUAUGGGUUGUAAACUUCUUUUAUAAAGGAAUAAAGUCGGGUAUGCAUACCCGUUUGCAUGUACUUUAUGAAUAAGGAUCGGCUAACUCCGUGCCAGCAGCCGCGGUAAUACGGAGGAUCCGAGCGUUAUCCGGAUUUAUUGGGUUUAAAGGGAGCGUAGAUGGAUGUUUAAGUCAGUUGUGAAAGUUUGCGGCUCAACCGUAAAAUUGCAGUUGGUACUGGAUAUCUUGAGUGCAGUUGAGGCAGGCGGAAUUCGUGGUGUAGCGGUGAAAUGCUUAGAUAUCACGAAGAACUCCGAUUGCGAAGGCAGCC
Molecule: ribosomal RNA, 670 nt
Filed under: uncultured Bacteroidales bacterium
Lineage: Bacteria; Pseudomonadati; Bacteroidota; Bacteroidia; Bacteroidales
Description: bacterial SSU rRNA
Rfam family: Bacterial small subunit ribosomal RNA
Source: RNAcentral